GCUGCCGUAUCUCAAUGGGAUAGAGAGCUACACUUCUAAUGCGGAGGUUGCUGGUUCGAAUCCAGCCGGCAGCA
This 74-nucleotide transfer RNA is filed under the name Clostridiales bacterium FE2011. Its description in RNAcentral is "tRNA-Arg". It matches the Rfam family "tRNA". From Rfam's summary of the family: Transfer RNA (tRNA) molecules are approximately 80 nucleotides in length. The record is from RNAcentral. Lineage: Bacteria; Bacillati; Bacillota; Clostridia; Eubacteriales.